AUUGGAGGAAAGUAGGGGAUCGCAAGACCUCGCGCUAUUAGAGCGGCCGAUGCCCGAUUAGCUAGUUGGUGAGGUAAUGGCCCACCAAGGCAACGAUCGGUAGCUGGUCUGAGAGGACGACCAGCCACACUGGGACUGAGACACGGCCCAGACUCCUACGGGAGGCAGCAGUGGGGAAUUUUGGACAAUGGGGGCAACCCUGAUCCAGCCAUGCCGCGUGUGUGAUGAAGGCCUUCGGGUUGUAAAGCACUUUCGGACGGAACGAAAUCGCGUGGGCGAAUAUCCCGCGUGGAUGACGGUACCGUAAGAAGAAGCACCGGCUAACUACGUGCCAGCAGCCGCGGUAAUACGUAGGGUGCGAGCGUUAAUCGGAAUUACUGGGCGUAAAGGGUGCGCAGGCGGCUUCGCAAGUCAGGCGUGAAAUCCCCGAGCUUAACUUGGGAAUUGCGUUUGAAACUACAAGGCUAGAAU
Molecule: ribosomal RNA, 471 nt
Filed under: uncultured Nitrosomonadaceae bacterium
Lineage: Bacteria; Pseudomonadati; Pseudomonadota; Betaproteobacteria; Nitrosomonadales; Nitrosomonadaceae
Description: bacterial SSU rRNA
Rfam family: Bacterial small subunit ribosomal RNA
Source: RNAcentral